AGGCCGUGCCCAUCGUGGGCGGCAUCGACACGCUGGAGCUGCCCGGCGCCGUCGUGGGGGACAUGGGGUUUAAUGGCAAUCCUGGCCCAUCUCAUCAAUGCAGUGUUGAGAAGAUGAACCUCAAAGAAGAAAUAGUAGUGAAGGUGGUAGAGCCAGAAGAAAGCUCUGAGGACAUGGUUGUGGUUUCACCUAAUCAAGAAGAACUGCCUUUUCUAGGGACAUCAGGCAGUAGUUCUUCUGGGAAAGUAAAAGCCAAAACAAAAGGCAGGUCCCAGGCAGACCAAAAUGAAAUAACUGAAGAGGACCUACUGCAGAUUCAGCAGACCCAGAUGCAGGUGAUCCAGUCUGGCUUUGACAGUGUCAACCACAAUCUUCGGCUGCUGCAGCAAGGCAUGCAGGAUCUGAGUAACAGCAUCAGCAUCAUGGCGCAUACGCUUGUUGCUAUCAAAAACGUCUAUGUGAAAAACAACACUGGCCCGACCACACACGCCACUGCCUCUACUCAGACCACAGCUGGGUACCUGAGCCCAGGUUCCCCCCAGAUCUCCCCUCCUGAGGACAGAGGUAGAGUGCAGGUGGCUGGAAGCAGCAGCAGAAGCAGCAGCAGCAGCUCCAGCUCCAUGACACAAGAACCAGGUCCCUCCGAGUUUUCUAGGCCCUCUGUGAGAACCAUUAAGAAAGAACAUCCAAAUGGCUGCUACUACUUCUGCUUUGCAGAUGUGUAAAAACUUGAAUAUAUGUAAAGUGACUGUGGUGUUAGGUGCUGUUGUAUGUUCUGCUCCGACCUGUGACUUUGAAGGAGCAAAGUGGACUUGCCUCCUGUGUUUUUCCCAGUGGGAAACAUUUUUGCUAUAGGUGGCAUUAAAAACUAAUUACCAGUCUCCCGUUUGUUAACUCUGUUGCAGUUGGCUAAUAAUUUUCUUCUGUUUUCUUUAUCCUCUUACUCUCUUAAAAAAAACAAACAUUUGAGUAAGACUUUUGUCUGUAUCAUCCUUUGUUUCAUGUCACCUUUUGAAAAAUAAAAGAAAAGGCAUGAGAGUGGGGUAGAAAAAG
This 1053-nucleotide long non-coding RNA is filed under the name Lepidothrix coronata (blue-crowned manakin). RNAcentral describes it as "lncRNA (ENSLCOG00000011982.1)". The record is from RNAcentral. Lineage: Eukaryota; Metazoa; Chordata; Aves; Passeriformes; Pipridae.